Molecule: ribosomal RNA, 249 nt
Filed under: uncultured bacterium
Lineage: Bacteria
Description: partial 16S ribosomal RNA
Rfam family: Bacterial small subunit ribosomal RNA
Source: RNAcentral
AAGGCAGCUACCUGGUGACAGGAUGCUAAUCCCAAAAGCCUCUCUCAGUUCGGAUCGAAGUCUGCAACCCGACUUCGUGAAGCUGGAUUCGCUAGUAAUCGCGCAUCAGCCAUGGCGCGGUGAAUACGUUCCCGGGCCUUGUACACACCGCCCGUCAAGCCAUGAAAGCCGGGGGUACCUGAAGUACGUAACCGCAAGGAGCGUCCUAGGGUAAAACUGGUAAUUGGGGCUAAGUCGUAACAAGGUAUC